RNAcentral lists this ribosomal RNA (492 nucleotides) under uncultured bacterium. RNAcentral's name for it is "bacterial SSU rRNA". It matches the Rfam family "Bacterial small subunit ribosomal RNA", at positions 28 to 520 of the family's 1533-position model. The record is from RNAcentral.
GAUGAACGCUAGCGGGAGGCUUAACACAUGCAAGUCGAGGGGCAUCACGAGGUAGCAAUACUUUGGUGGCGACCGGCGCACGGGUGAGUAACGCGUAUGUAACCUACCCUGUACAGGGGGAUAGCCCGGAGAAAUUCGGAUUAAUACCCCAUAAAGAUAUCGGAAGGCAUCUUUUGAUAUUUAAAGUUUCGACGGUACGGGAUGGGCAUGCGUAACAUCAGCUAGUUGGUAAGGUAACGGCUUACCAAGGCGACGAUGUUUAGGGGUCCUGAGAGGGUGAUCCCCCACACUGGUACUGAGACACGGACCAGACUCCUACGGGAGGCAGCAGUGAGGAAUAUUGCGCAAUGGGCGAAAGCCUGACGCAGCCAUGCCGCGUGAGUGAUGAAGGCCCUCGGGUCGUAAAGCUCUGUCGGGAGGGACGAAGGGUGGCAACACUCUGACGGUACCUCGCAAGAAAGCAACCGGCUAACUCCGUGCCAGCAGCCGCGG